ACGGGUGAGUAACGCGUAUCCAACCUUCCCGUUACUGCGGGAUAACCUGCCGAAAGGCAGACUAAUACCGCAUGUUCUUCGAUGACGGCAUCAGAUUUGAAGUAAAGAUUUAUCGGUAACGGAGGGGGAUGCGUCUGAUUAGCUAGUUGGCGGGGCGACGGCCCACCAAGGCGACGAUCAGUAGGGGUUCUGAGAGAAAGGUCCCCCACAUUGGAACUGAGACACGGUCCAAACUCC
RNAcentral lists this ribosomal RNA (237 nucleotides) under uncultured Prevotella sp. RNAcentral describes it as "partial 16S ribosomal RNA". It matches the Rfam family "Bacterial small subunit ribosomal RNA", at positions 102 to 339 of the family's 1533-position model. Lineage: Bacteria; Pseudomonadati; Bacteroidota; Bacteroidia; Bacteroidales; Prevotellaceae. The record is from RNAcentral.